This is a long non-coding RNA of Oncorhynchus keta (chum salmon), 662 nucleotides long. RefSeq lists it as uncharacterized. Lineage: Eukaryota; Metazoa; Chordata; Actinopteri; Salmoniformes; Salmonidae. The transcript has 3 exons. The record is from RefSeq and is a predicted model, not a curated record.
GGAGGCUGAUAGGUGAAGGGAGGCUGAUAGGUGAAGGGAGGCUGAUAGGUGAAGGGAGGCUGAUAGGUGAAGGGAGGCUGAUAGGUGAAGGGAGGCUGAUCGGUGAAGGGAGGCUGAUAGGUGAAGGGAGGCUGAUAGAUGAAGGGAGGCUGAUAGGUGAAGGGAGGCUGAUAGGUGAAGGGAGGCUGAUCGGUGAAGGGAGGUGAAGGGAGGCUGAUAGGUGAAGGGAGGCUGAUAGGUGAAGGGAGGUGAAGGGAGGCUGAUAGGUGAAGGGAGGCUGAUAGGUGAAGGGAGGCUGAUAGGUGAAGGGAGGCUGAUAGGUGAAGGGAGGCUGAUAGGUGAAGGGAGGCUGAUCGGUGAAGGGAGGCUGAUGGAGGUGAAGGGAGGCUGAUAGGUGAAGGGAGGCUGAUAGGUGAAGGGAGGUGAAGGGAGGCUGAUAGGUGAAGGGAGGCUGAUAGGUGAAGGGAGGCUGAUAGGUGAAGGGAGGCUGAUAGGUGAAGGGAGGCUGAUAGGUGAAGGGAGGCUGAUCGGUGAAGGGAGGCUGAUCGGUGAAGGGAGGCUGAUAGGUGAAGGGAGGCUGAUAGGUGAAGGGAGGCUGAUAGGUGAAGGGAGGCUGAUAGGUGAAGGGAGGCUGAUAGGUGAAGGGAGGCUGAUAGGUGAAG